UACGAACCGUCCAAACGUUAUUCGGAAUCACUGGGCUUAAAGGGUGCGUAGGCGGCCCGAAAAGUUGGGUGUGAAAGCCCUCGGCUCAACCGAGGAAUUGCGCCCAAAACUGCCGGGCUCGAGGGAGACAGAGGUGAGCGGAACUUAGGGUGGAGCGGUGAAAUGCGUUGAUAUCCUAAGGAACACCAGUAGCGUAAGCGGCUCACUGGGUCUCUUCUGACGCUGAGGCACGAAAGCUAGGGGAGCGAAGAGG
RNAcentral lists this ribosomal RNA (253 nucleotides) under uncultured bacterium. RNAcentral describes it as "partial 16S ribosomal RNA". It matches the Rfam family "Bacterial small subunit ribosomal RNA", at positions 524 to 776 of the family's 1533-position model. The record is from RNAcentral.